ACGGAGCGCGUCCGAAGCAGCCCCCUGUUCAACGUCAUUCGUCUUUGUUUGUGUUGCUUUGUCAGGUGCCCGUGCUGUCGCUUGGCAAGAAUCAGAAGUUGAAAACAAACUGAAGCAAGCGGGAGCACGGGCGCAGCUGGGAACGAGAAUCCGUUCCAGCUGUGAAAAGACACCGAAGUUCUUUUUAGCGUACGGAAAAUGGAAGGAAGUUUCUUUUCGUUCAGCUCAGAAAACUGGUGCCCGUCACUCUUUAGCCGCUCGUUUCAACACUAAAAAGAACUUCGAUAAGACUGGCCGAAGUUCGGGGGCCUACGACCACGAUCGGAAGCGGGAAAGGCGCGGCGACAGUGGCACGAGGACGUCUUUUUGACCGGAGCGGUUGCUGAAGAGCUGCAAUCACUGAAGGCUGGUGCAAUGGCUGUCGAAACGAGGUGACAAAAUGGAGUCGGUGAGGCAAGGACUUGCAAAGGGGGUUGUGACAAAGUGAUCACCCGUGGCCCAUAAAUAGAGCCAAAAGUGGUCGGGCACGGGUGUGAGACGGAGGUCAACAGACGACCCCGCAACGAAGAGUGCUCAUCGGCUCCAAGUUGCAGAUGACGUCAGCAGUUCCAAAGGUCAGCACAGCAUCUUCAGGACGCGCCGCGGUGACUAGGCGUAAAACUCCAGCUUUGGCAAGGAAGAAGUUUUACGGGGGGGAGUGUUGCGACGGAGCGCGUCCGAAGCAGCCCCCUGUUCAACGUCAUUCGUCUUUGUUUGUGUUGCUUUGUCAGGUGCCCGUGCUGUCGCUUGGCAAGAAUCAGAAGUUGAAAACAAACUGAAGCAAGCGGGAGCACGGGCGCAGCUGGGAACGAGAAUCCGUUCCAGCUGUGAAAAGACACCGAAGUUCUUUUUAGCGUACGGAAAAUGGAAGGAAGUUUCUUUUCGUUCAGCUCAGAAAACUGGUGCCCGUCACUCUUUAGCC
This is a long non-coding RNA of Culex quinquefasciatus (southern house mosquito), 961 nucleotides long. RefSeq lists it as uncharacterized. The record is from RefSeq and is a predicted model, not a curated record. The transcript is spliced from 3 exons. NCBI's taxonomy places the organism in Eukaryota, Metazoa, Arthropoda, Insecta, Diptera, Culicidae.